UCCCUGGUGGCUCAGACGGUAGAGAAUCUGCCUGGAAUGUUUGAGAACCAGGUUUGAUUCCUGGUUUGGGAA
This 72-nucleotide transfer RNA is filed under the name Bos taurus (domestic cattle). It matches the Rfam family "tRNA". From Rfam's summary of the family: Transfer RNA (tRNA) molecules are approximately 80 nucleotides in length. Their secondary structure includes four short double-helical elements and three loops (D, anti-codon, and T loops). Further hydrogen bonds mediate the characteristic L-shaped molecular structure. tRNAs have two regions of fundamental functional importance: the anti-codon, which is responsible for specific mRNA codon recognition, and the 3' end, to which the tRNAs corresponding amino acid is attached (by aminoacyl-tRNA synthetases). tRNAs cope with the degeneracy of the genetic code in two manners: having more than one tRNA (with a specific anti-codon) for a particular amino acid; and 'wobble' base-pairing, i.e. permitting non-standard base-pairing at the 3rd anti-codon position. Lineage: Eukaryota; Metazoa; Chordata; Mammalia; Artiodactyla; Bovidae. RNAcentral also lists the same sequence under 1 other name. The record is from Rfam by way of RNAcentral.